GCCGGUAUGGCGGAACUGGCAGACGCGCGCGACUCAAAAUCGCGAGGGAAACCGUGGGGGUUCAAGUCCCUCUACCGGCA
Molecule: transfer RNA, 80 nt
Filed under: Paenibacillus xerothermodurans
Lineage: Bacteria; Bacillati; Bacillota; Bacilli; Caryophanales; Paenibacillaceae
Description: Bacillus xerothermodurans tRNA
Rfam family: tRNA
About the family: Transfer RNA (tRNA) molecules are approximately 80 nucleotides in length. Their secondary structure includes four short double-helical elements and three loops (D, anti-codon, and T loops). Further hydrogen bonds mediate the characteristic L-shaped molecular structure. tRNAs have two regions of fundamental functional importance: the anti-codon, which is responsible for specific mRNA codon recognition, and the 3' end, to which the tRNAs corresponding amino acid is attached (by aminoacyl-tRNA synthetases). tRNAs cope with the degeneracy of the genetic code in two manners: having more than one tRNA (with a specific anti-codon) for a particular amino acid; and 'wobble' base-pairing, i.e. permitting non-standard base-pairing at the 3rd anti-codon position.
Source: Rfam by way of RNAcentral